This 125-nucleotide small nuclear RNA is filed under the name Carlito syrichta (Philippine tarsier). RNAcentral describes it as "U1 spliceosomal RNA (ENSTSYG00000022801.2)". It matches the Rfam family "U1 spliceosomal RNA". From Rfam's summary of the family: U1 is a small nuclear RNA (snRNA) component of the spliceosome (involved in pre-mRNA splicing). Its 5' end forms complementary base pairs with the 5' splice junction, thus defining the 5' donor site of an intron. There are significant differences in sequence and secondary structure between metazoan and yeast U1 snRNAs, the latter being much longer (568 nucleotides as compared to 164 nucleotides in human). The record is from RNAcentral. Lineage: Eukaryota; Metazoa; Chordata; Mammalia; Primates; Tarsiidae.
AUACUUACCUGGCAGGGGAGAUUCCAUGAUCAUGAACGUGGUUUUCCCAGAGUAAGGCUUAUCCAUUGCACUCUGGAUGUGCUGACCCCUGCGGUUUCCCCAAAUAUGGGAAAUUUGCAAAAAAA